RNAcentral lists this long non-coding RNA (4937 nucleotides) under Homo sapiens (human). RNAcentral describes it as "HSALNT0190950". The record is from RNAcentral. Lineage: Eukaryota; Metazoa; Chordata; Mammalia; Primates; Hominidae.
AAAAAUGUUUUGGUGUAAACUUGGCCAAGGGGAACUCUUGAAACUUUCAGUUUCUUUGCCUAACUCUGAGUUGCUUGAGUCACAUUUUUGCAUGGUUCUUGAUUGACUUUCUGGUGCUCUGCCUGGAGGUCUUUGCUUAUCUGUGAGUUGCCUGAGUCACAUUUUUACAUGGUUCUGGUGCUCUGCCUGCAGGUCAAGAAGGAGCCAGUAUCUCCAGGAGGAGUGAGAGAGUGCUCUGCCAGUGUGAAGUGUGAAUCCUUGAGAGGCUGUGGCAAGGGUCCAUGCCUGAAUGUGUAGAACAAGAACAGCUGGAGGCUGUGGCUUUCUCCAGGAAGAGGUUUCUAAAUCUGCCUCUUAGAAGAUAUCAGAAAGUUAAAGUUUCUCUUGCUGCCGCCGUGUAAGAAGGACCUUUUGCCUCCCACCAUGAUUCUAAGUCCUCCCCAGCCACGUGGAACUGCUUUCAUUUGGUCUCUUUUCGAAUCAGAAGACCCAGAAAACUUGGAUCCACUUCUGGCUCUCAUCCCUCUGGGCAGUGUGAUUUGGAUUGAGCAGAUGCUCCGGCUGCCACUCCAUCAUAUAUUGGAAACAGCAUUACUUUAUAGUAAAUCAUGACCACGGUGUAUGGCAAUGAAGUUGCAUCUGAAGCAGCCGGCACCCUAUGUGCUAGCUGGCUUUUAGACCAGGAGACUGUGAAUCUGUGGUCAGGAUCUCUUUAGGGCUGCUAAAUAUAUACUACCCACUAUCACUCGCUGGAGCUGCAGACCCUAGUUUUAGAGUUUCACUUCUUAAAGACCUUCAUCCUUAUUAAAAUGGUAAUAUCCUUACUGUCAUCAAUCACUGACACAUUGGUAUGAGUGAGUUUGAGUCUGGUUUGAAGAGUAGGUUUACUGGAGGAGGAGGCUCACAGGGAAGCUGGGAGGGAACCCACAGCUACUCUGCAGAGAAGGAGAGAGGGAGGUGAGGUGUGGAGGCAAGGGGAAGAGAGGGUGGCUAUACUAACAGUCUCCUGGCUAGAGAGGAGGAUUGGACCAUUUUGCAUUCUUUUUUUUUUUUUGAGACAGAGUUUCACUCUGUCGACCAGGUUGAAGUGCAGUGGCACAAUCUUGGCUCACUGCAACUUACAUCUCCCCUGUGCAAGUGAUUCUAGAGCCUCAGCCUCCUGAGUAGCUGGGAUUAUAGGUGUGUGCCACCAUGCCUGACUAAUUUUUGUGUUUUUAGUAGAGACGGGGUCUUGCCAUAUUGCCCAGGCUGGUUUUGAACUCCUGGCCUUAAGUGAUCCACCCACUUCAGCCUCCCAAAGUGCUGGGAUUACAGGUGUGAGCCACUGAGCCUGGGCUAUUUUGCAUUCUUAAAGUAGCUUUAUCGUUCAUGCCUCUUCUCCUCUAUGCUAGCACUGGUUAUACUUACAAAGAUGGAGCAUGAUUUUCUUCCUUAUUCUUCUCUUUGUUCUAGGAACCAGAAAGAACAGGUGUUAAUCUUAUUAGCAAGGAAAGGAGGCCUCAGCAAUAGCGAGAAACCGAACUUAUUUGUGAGGCCUUGCAUUUUGAUGUGAAUUGUUUCCAGGGAUUUAAAAAUAUUCAGUAAAACACAAAAAAAGUAAUGAAAAUUUUUUAAUAGCCUGAGGUAAAGCAGCUACGGCUUAGAAAGGCUGAGGAACUUGCCUGAGGCUAUCCAGCUACUGAGAGAUAAACUGGGGUGUGAAUUCAGAGAGCUUGACUCCUGAGGCUCCACCUGUGCCUAUAAUUCCAGCAUGACACCUGGUAAUGGGCACUCAGUAUAUGCUUGUUGAUCUAAACUCAGUGUGUGUGUGUGUGUCUGUGUGUGUCUGUGUGUGUGUGUGUGUGUGUGUGUGUGUGUGUGGUCUUCCUCUCACAUCCAAAGCUACUAGCACUGAGGAAGUUGGGCAUGGUGUAGGAAAGAGAAAUCUUUGCUGUUAAAUCUCAUUUCCAGCAUAACUGUCAAUGGAGAGGUGGCAUGGAAGGGACAACCAGUUCGUGUACCAAAUUACUCUCAGCUUGCUUGUUGUCUUAGGCAUAUGUUCUGGGAGUGGCCAACACCUGUUUUACAUCUGUGUUAGUCUUUGCGGAAUAAAAAGCAAAUUAGGGUUUAAUGGGGACUAUUAAUCUUGUCACCUAAUUGAGUAGAUCUAAUAAAUCUUUUCAUUCAAAACCCAAUGGGAAUUUCUAGUUGGAAAUGAGUGUGGGGAAUAUUCAAUCUCAAAAAUAUUUUCAUACACAAAGAUUAUAUAUGAGUUUGUGAAAGAUGUUGAAUAUUCAAUGAAAUUUAAUGAGUAUGAAUUGAACACUUAUCCUGGGCCUAGAACUGUUGGCAGUUGCUUUUGAGAGUUACAGAGUACAUUUAUGGUAAUUACUGCACUUACGAAUUUUGCUAUGUGGUUUGGGAGUAUCUGAAGUAUCUUAUAGUAGGUCUCUAAACUGGUAAUAAUAAAAAGUUCAAAUAUAUUAUUUUGUUACACUCCACGAGGAUCAAACUUCAUCAUGACAUGAUUAUAAUUUGAAAUAUGAGUAAGAAAUACGUAGGGUCAUGAUCUCUAUAAGCCCAUUCUUUGCUUCUUAAUUAAAUUUUGCAGCUGAUAGAAACAUUGAAAGCAGAGCAUUAGCUUAUAAAUAAUUCAGAAAAUGGUUGGUAACUCCCAUAGUAUAUGUUUUAUGAGUUUUGUUUAAGAAGAGUCUAUUUCGUGUUAGGUAAAGUUGGCCAUUGUUUAGAAUAAAGACCUGCAUUACUUUCUAUUCUAAAUUAAACUGUUAAUGGGAGUGCUUGCAAAGGCCUUGGUGCUUUUUUUUCUGUUUAAUAGGAGCAACAUCACUUUGGAUCAAUUAUUUAAUUUCCUUAUGUCAGAGUUCUUUCAAUUUAAAGGAAAAUAUUUCCUUUCCUCAUUCCUUUUUCUCUGAGGAUGAACCAGACAUUGGAAGUUGUAGCCUGGGAUUGUACUGGAGCUCUCACUGUGGUUGCAUUCUUUCUUCACAUUCAGCGUCCUCCUUAAAGCACACAUUUUCACGUACAUCUAUUAAAUUACCUGGGAGAGAGUUCUAGACACUAUCAGUCAGUAAAUCCAGUUGUCUCAUUUUUCAGUUUUAGCUAUUGUUGCGGUCAUAUGCCAAGGCUUGUAUGAAUGAAGGGUCUAUAAAAAUAUCUGCUGUGGUGUGAUUUUUUUUAUCCUUGUAUGAGACCAUAGCAUGAGACAGUAGACUGGCAAAUUGGCAGGGCGAGGAGAGUGUUUGUGCUUACACGGGGCAAUGAAAAGAGUUUUGAUUCUUCUUUAGCUAAAUGUUAUAAAACUUUAAAGCUUACAUUUGAAUAAUCGUUGCAGAUGGGUUAGAUAAAAUCCAUCAACUCACAAUGUUUUUCCUGUUUCCAUUCACUAGUGAGUAACAAGGUUAAAAGAAGGAAUGUUCUAUAAAAUAAGAUAUAGAAUUUGGGUUAGGUUUACAAGUGAAGAGUUCCUCUUUGCCCUGCCCCCAAAUUAUUUUUAGGCCCCAGGCCUCUGAAGCCAAGGUAAUCUGCAGGGCAGCUUUCACAUUUUAUCACAAGUCAGUGGUCUCUCCUCUUCCUUGUCCCUCCUAUCUUGCCGGCAAAUGGCUCUGUGGGAAACCCAUUCUGCUUCCUGUUUAAACUGUAGAAACAAUUCAUUUAAUUCAAUAUCUAGCUUUUGAUUCUAUUUGCAAAAAUACAGUUGUAAAUAGUUCCAUUCAUUAGCCAAUUUUUUUUUUGGUCUGUUAAGCAUAUUUGGGUCAUUUUAUAGUUAACCUUGGCUGAGGGAGAGAAGUUCUUUGAAGCUCUUACUUACUUACUUGUGAAUUUUUGGGUCUGAUAUGGAGGCUUUGCAGGUCAGAAGCAUGGCUUGACUGACCCAAUGCCCAUUUCUGGCUCUCUUCAUCCUCGCUGACCUCUACAGUAGAGAAAGGAGAAGCUGAAUAUUCACUGCUCUAACCUCCCUUGAAGCAAGGGGUGGCCUUGUAACAGUUCUGGCCAAUGUGGCAUAAGCAGAAUUCUGCUGAGGUGGGUUUUGGGAACGGCUUUUGAUUUCCUAAUAAAAGAGGCCAGAACUGCAGGCACUAUUCUUUCCACCCCUCUUGGUCUUGAACAUGGCUACAAUGUCUGGAUCUAUAGCAGUCAGCUUGCAACUUUGAGACAAUAUGCCAAUCUAAAAAUGGUAGAGCAGAAUUAUAGAUGAACAGAUGAACCCUUGGUUUUUAUUAGAUCAUGGAGCCCCAUAUUAUACAGUACUGCUUCCCUUUAGACAUCAUACAUGAAAAAUAAAUCCCUUUGUGGUAGGUUUAAUACAAGGCCACAAAUUCUUUGACACUCCUCCCAGCAAAGUCUAAUUCACCCUCCCUUGAAUAUAGGCCAGCCUUACCCACUUGAUUCUAACUAGUAGAAUUCAGUAGAUGUGACACUGCAUGACUCUCCAUGCUAGGUUCACAAGUGAUGCGGUUUCUGCCUUUUUCUUCUCUCUGACAUGUGCCUUGGGAGCUUUGAGCUGACAUGUUAGAAGUCAGUCUACAUUGAAGCUGCCAUGCUGAAGAACUCAUGUGGGAGAACACACAGAAAUCGAGAUGCCUGAGGAGCCCCAGCUGUACCAGCCUCUAGCUCUCUGAGUCUUCUCAGCAAGAACUGUCAAACAUGAGAGUGAAGCAGCCUUCAGAUGACUCUGGCCCCAGUCUUCAAGUGCCCUAGCUGGUGCCAAGUGGAGCAGACAAGCUGCCACCCACCAAGCCCUUCCCAAAUUGCAGACUAGGAACAAAAUAAAUGUUAUUUUAAGCCACUAAAUUUUGGUUUGUUAUAUAUUAUAGCAAUAGAAAACCAGAACCCCUUUUUUUAAUGCCACUGUUAGUUGGAUAUUCUGUUACUUGCAGCCAAAAGCAUCCUUAUGUGAAAUACUUAGUAGUAGAGAAGAUUAAAAGAAAUCACUAAAA